AAAAACGGACUUCUUCGGGCAACGGGAAUAUCUUCGGGCUUCUUCGCAUCCGAAUGAAGAACGUAAGCCGAAAUGCGAUACUUGGUGUGAAUUGCAGAAUCCCGUGAACCAUCGAGUUUUUGAACGCAAGUUGCGCCCCAAAGGCCAUUUAGGGCCCGAGGGGCACCGUCUGCCUUGGGGCCGUC
Molecule: ribosomal RNA, 185 nt
Filed under: Euryodendron excelsum
Lineage: Eukaryota; Viridiplantae; Streptophyta; Magnoliopsida; Ericales; Pentaphylacaceae
Description: 5.8S ribosomal RNA
Rfam family: 5.8S ribosomal RNA (bases 54-183)
About the family: 5.8S ribosomal RNA (5.8S rRNA) is a component of the large subunit of the eukaryotic ribosome. It is transcribed by RNA polymerase I as part of the 45S precursor that also contains 18S and 28S rRNA.
Source: RNAcentral